This 307-nucleotide unclassified non-coding RNA is filed under the name plant metagenome. RNAcentral describes it as "partial contains 5.8S ribosomal RNA, internal transcribed spacer 2, and large subunit ribosomal RNA". The stretch from base 1 to 105 matches the Rfam family "5.8S ribosomal RNA", at positions 50 to 154 of the family's 154-position model. The record is from RNAcentral.
GAAAUGCGAUAAGUAAUGUGAAUUGCAGAAUUCAGUGAAUCAUCGAAUCUUUGAACGCACAUUGCGCCCUUUGGCAUUCCGAAGGGCAUGCCUGUUCGAGCGUCAUUACACCAAUCACGCCUGGCGUGGUAUUGGGCGACGGGGCCGUCACACGCCCCGCGCCCCAACGACCCCCCGGCGGGACGGACCGUAUCUCAGCGUUGUGCAUCACGUAUUCGCUGGCGAGGACGGGACGGCCGAGCCGUUAAACGCCCCCCCUUCUUCAGGUUGACCUCGGAUCAGGUAGGGAUACCCGCUGAACUUAAGC